Molecule: ribosomal RNA, 254 nt
Filed under: uncultured bacterium
Lineage: Bacteria
Description: partial 16S ribosomal RNA
Rfam family: Bacterial small subunit ribosomal RNA
Source: RNAcentral
CACGUAGGGUGCGAGCGUUGCCCGGAAUUAUUGGGCGUAAAGAGCUCGUAGGCGGUGUGUCGCGUCGGCCGUGAAAACCUGCAGCUUAACUGUGGGCGUGCGGUCGAUACGGGCAUCACUGGAGUUCGGCAGGGGAGACUGGAAUUCUCGGUGUAGCGGUGAAAUGCGUUGAUAUCGAGAGGAACGCCGGUGGUGAAGACGACCUUCUGGAACGCAACUGACGCUGAGGCACGAAAGCUAGGGGAGCAAACAGG